CUAUUCAAAUACAAACUACGUAUUAACCCCUUACAAUAUUUGGCCAACCACACCUACAGAUCAUAGUAAGCUUAUAAGAAAUCAAUAAGCAACUCAUUAACAAAUUUUUGUCAAUGUUUACCACAUAAUCAUAAUUUCACUACAAGCUGUCUUCCUGAGCAACAGUCACUAAAUCAUUUAUAACUGGAGCUACGAAACUCCAAAUCAAGUGUAGUUAAUUUUCCAUGAAAAUAGACUCAUAUAUCUUCUAUCUAUAAAAUUUUCAAAAUUUUUGGUAUGGCCAAUAAAUACCAGAUUUUUCUUAAAGUUUCUCAUGUUUCACUGUUUGACUAAUCUGACCACUCUUCAUUACAAAUCAAAUUUCUCAUUGUACAGAAUUCAAAAUAUGUUUUUGUUUAUUUCAUUUGAAACUAGACUCAUUAAGAUUUAAUUAAAUAAUUUAUUUCGCUUCUAAUUCAUCUCCCACAAUUUAUGCUGAUUUUCCAAAGUCACGUUACUGCUGCUGUCCCAAGCAGAUUUAUUAUCAAAUCACUCUUUCAUACACCUAUCUUGCAUGCAUGUUAUUUAAACAUGUAUAUCACCAAUCAAUCAUCACAUAUCUAUGAUUUUUACUUAAGCAUAAUCUCCAUUUCAUCAUUUUAAAGCACAACAUGUUAGCCGAUUUUUCCCUUUAGCAUCUAAAGCACAUACAUGAUCAUUUGUUUGGCUCAACUUCACCUAUCUUCCAUUUUUCAUCAAAAGAACAUGAAACAACAACCAUUUCCUUCAUUUAAAUUCAUGACCAAAUACUCACAACACAACCAAAAACCAAAAUAUGCUUCAAGAGUUAAGUUAAAAUCAAGAGCUCAUGAACAUCAAAAUAGAAGCAACUACCAUGAACUUACCUUGGAUUUUUUUUUCUUCCCCAAGUGACCGAAUAUUCAAGAGCUCUUUUCCUCUCCUUUCUCUUCUAUUUUCGGCUAUCAUCAACAAGGAUGAACAAAAACCUUCCUUUACUUCCUUUUUGUUAUUCUAUUACUAAACAUUUUAUGACACAAAAUAACAUAUAUUAUUUGUGCCAUACCUAUGCCAUAACUCCAAUAAAAAUAUGCCCAUAAUGCUUAUUAUGCCCAUCAUGGAACCUUUUCCUAACCCAUUAUAAAUUUUUAUCAAUUUGUACCAUAAUUAUUAAUAUCAAGUGCACAUAUUGUCUACCACCAACAUGAUGGCCAGCCACUUCAUGUAAAAUGAGAGAUUUGUCAUGCAAAUCCUCCUUAUUUUGCACUCCUAUUUGUUUGGCCACUUCAAUUUAGCAUAUAGCAUUUUUAAAUAUUUUCACAUAAGUCCUAUUUCAUAAUUUCACCCCUUUUUUCUUAUGAAACAAAAAUUAACUAAAAUUGUCGGGUUUUAUCUUAAGCUUGGGCCUUCUAGAGGCCCACUAACAUAAUUAAACCUAUGCCAACAUUCACAGAAUUCCCGAAAAUUGGGGCGUUUCAACUCUACCCCCUUAAAGAAAUUUCAGCCUCAAAAUUUACCUGAUCCAAAUAGUUGAGGGUAUUGUUGACGCAUAGUCUCUUUUGAUUCCCAAGUAGCUUCUUCCCUUCCAUGAUUACGCCACAGUACUUUUACCAACGGAACCGACUUCCUUCUUAGAACUUUAACCUCUCGAUCUAAAAUUUGUAUGGGUUCUUCCUCAAAGGUCAAAUCAGUCCUUACUUCAAUCUCAUCCACUGGCAUAACAUGUGAGGGAUCCGAUCGAUAUCGUCUUAAUAUAGACACAUGAAAAACAUCAUGGAUUCUGUCUAACUUUGGUGGUAAGUCUAACUGAUACGCUACUGGCCCUACCCGCUUAAGAACUCGAUAAGGCCCUAUAAACCGCGGACUCAAUUUGCCUUUCUUGCCGAAUCUCAAGAUCUUCUUCAAAUGUGAAACUUUUAAGAAAACCAUAUCCCUAACCGCGAACUCUCUCUUUGCGCUUUAGGUCCGUAUACGACUUCUGUCUAUUAGAUUCCUCCUUUAAUCGAUCUCUUAUCAACUUAACCUUACUUUCAGUAUCUGCCACCAACUCCGGUCCAAGCACUUAUCGUUCACCCAACUUUGUCCAACACGUAGACGUACGACAUCUCCGCCCAUAAAGUGCCUCAUAUGGAGCCAUCUGAAUACUUGCUUGGUAGCUGUUAUUGUAUGCAAACUCCGCCAAUGGCAAGUAGUCCUCCCAACUCCCAUGAAAAUCGAUGAUACAACCCCUUAACAUAUCCUCCAAAAUUUGAAUAACCCUCUCCGACUGUCCAUCUAUCUGUGGGUGAAAGGCAAUACUGAAAUCCAAACGUGCACCCAAUACCUCCUGCAACUUCUUCCAGAACCGAGAUGUAAACCUAAGGUCUCGAUCGAAAAUAAUCGACAUUGGCACUCCAUGUAAUCGCACUAUCUUUGCCACAUACAACCUAGCCAACUUUUGCAUGGAGUAAUCAGUACGAGCUGGUAUGAAAUGGGCAGAUUUUGUUAACCUAUCCACCACUACCCACACAGAAUCUUUCUUGGUGGGUGUCAAAAGUAGCCCACUCACAAAGUCCAUAAUGACUCUCUCCCACUUCCACAAUGGAAUUUUCACUAGUUGCAGUAAUCCAAAAGGAAAUUGAUGUUCAGCUUUCACUUACUGGCAUGUCAUACAUUUCCCCACGAACUCCGUUACUUCUCAUUUAAGCCCAGGCCACCAGUACUGUUCUCGCAAGUUGUGAUACAACUUAUUCCCUCCAGGAUGCAUGGCACAAAGUCCUCCAUGAGCUUCCUUCAAUAUUGAUUGUCUUAAGUUAGAAUCCUUCGGAACACAAAUUCUUACUCGGAAGCAUAAAACUCCUUCAGUAUUUAGUCCAAAAUCCUCAUUCUUACCCUUCUCAACUUGCUGAAACCGAAGGACCAACGAGUUAUCCUUCAACUAUUUUUCUUUAAUCUGCUCAGUCCAAAUAGACCUCACUUGCAAUUCUGCUAAUAGACUUCCAUCAUCAAACAGACUCAAACGUGCAAUCAAGGCUCUCAAAUCAGAAACAAUCCUUCGACUCAACGCAUCAGCCACCACGUUAGCCUUACCUGGGUGGUACUCAAUCGAACAGCUGUAAUCCUUAAGCAACUCUACCCAUCUUCGUUGCCUAAGGUUUAACUCCUUCUGAGUUAACAGAUACUUUAGGCUCUUAUGGUCCGUGUAUAUGAUACACUUUUCUCCAUAUAAGUAAUGUCUCUAGAUUUUCAACGCAAAGAUCACUGCUGCUAGCUCUAAGUCGUGCGUAGGGUAGUUCGCUUCAUGGGACUUAAGCUGCCGCGAAGCAUAAGCGACCACCUUACCCUCUUGCAUCAGUACACAUCCUAACCCCACAUGUGACGCAUCGCUGUACACAAUGAAGUCCUUCCCAGACUUCGAUUGAAUCAACACUGGUGCUUCAGUCAAUACCUUUUUCAAAUGGUCAAAAGCUUUUUGCUGACUCUCAGUCCAGACAAAUGCUACCCCUUUCCUUAACAGUUUCAUCAAUGGUGCAGCAAUCAGAUAAAAUCCUUCUACGAACCUUCGGUAAUAGCCUGCCAAACCCAAAAAACUCUAAAUUUUCGAUACUAAUUUUGGUGGCUUCCAUCCCAGAACUGCCUCAACUUUUCGAGGAUCCACUUUAAUUCCUUCAGCAGAAACCACAUGACUUAGAAAAGCCACUUCUCGCAACCAAAAUUCACACUUACUAAACUUUGCAUACAGUUCCUUCUCUCUCAGCACUUGCAGCACAAUACAUAGAUACUCCUCAUGUUUCUCCUCGGUUUCCAAGUAUACCAGAAUAUCAUCGAUGAAAACUACCACGAAUCAGUCCAAGUAAGGUUGGAACACUCGAUUCAUCAGAUCCAUGAAAGCGACAGGUGCGUUUGUCAACCCAAACGGCAUAACCAGGAACUCGUAAUGACCAUAUCGAGUCCUGAAUGCUGUCUUAUGAAUAUCCACUUCCUUUACCCUUAACUGAUGGUAUCCAGAUCGAAGGUCAAUCUUGGAAAAUACCGAAGCUCCUCUAAGUUGGUCAAAUAAAUCAUCAAUCCUUGCCAGAGGGUAUUUGUUCUUUAUCGUCAGUUUGUUCAACUGGCGAUAAUCGAUGCACAUGCGCAUUGUCCCAUCUUUUUUCUUCACAAAUAACAUUGAUGCUCCUCAUGGAGACACGCUUGGCCUAAUGAAGCCCCUAUCCAACAACUCUUGAAUUUGAGCCUUUAACUCUACUAACUCCUUCGGUGCCAGCCUAUACGGUGCGAUGGACACAGACGCCAUUCUAGGCAACAAAUCUAUUCCAAACUCAACUUCUCAGUUCGGAGGCAAUCCUGGAAGCUCCUCCAGAAAAAUAUCUUGGAAUUCCUUUACGGUCCUAACCUUAUCCACUGUCAGUCCCUCCUCUUCUAACUGACUUACAAAUGCCAAAUAGGCCUCACAACCUUUCCGAAUCCACUUUUCGGCUCUUAAUGCCGACACCACAUUGGACAAAUAAUCCCUUCACUCACCUAUCACCAUAACCUCCUCAUCCUUUGUAGUCCUUAACACCAUUCGUUUAGCAGCACAAUCCAAAGUCGUCUUAUGGUUAACAAGCCAAUCCAUUCCCAAAAUGAGAUAAAACUCUCCGAACGGUAACUCCAUCAGAUCUCUAAAGAAAAUCUUACCUUUAGUUUCUAAAGGUACAUCUUUAUACAGUUUGUCUACCCUAACCGAAUGACCCAAAGGACUUAGUACAGAUACCCCACUCACAAUCUCCUCAGAGUGCACACCCAACGACCCAGAUAUGGCACAUGCAACAUAGGAAUGAGUAGAUCCAACAUCCACUAAGGCAGUAUACGGCAUGCUAGAAAUCAAAAACAUACCAGUUAUGACGUCAGGUGCGUCACCCUCCUCGCGGCGACGAGCAGCAUAUACCAAAGCUGGCUGACGAGCCUCAGUGUUAACAGUACCCUUGCCAGGUGCCCCACGUCCAUGGCCAUUGCCACCGCGACCUCGACCAUGACCUCUCGACGGCGACGGUCCACCUCGCGCUGUUUGUACGGGCUGCACAACCCUUUGUUCAACCACUUGAGCCUGAGCUAGCCUCUUAGGACAAUCUCUAAUCUUAUGUUCCUUUGAUCCACAACGAAGACAAGCCCCAGAACGUUUCCAACAUUCCCCCAGAUGCAUUUUACCAUAAUCUCCACAAGCUUGUGGUCUAACAGUAUUCACCGAAAUCGCUCGAAUUAGUUCUUCCAUCCUAGCUCUCUUAACAUUCCAGUUUGCAGCACCAGUUGGUCCAGCAUCUCUCCUGAACCGAUUUCGAUCCCUGUCACGGUUCCUUCGUUCAGCUUGCUUCACCUCUUCGGCUAUCUUAGCCUUUUCUACUAGUGCAGUAAAAUCGCGCUCUCUUUGCGGAGCUAUGAGCACCCUUAGCUUAUCUCUAAGGCCAUCCUCAAAGCGAACACUACGCUCGUAUUUGGUAGAGACAAUACCAUUAGCAUACUGGCUCAAUCGCAGAAACUCUGCCUCAUAUUCAACAACGGUCUUACCACCCUGGGUCAGGUUCAGAAAUUCCUUCCUUCGCACCUCCACGUAGCUAGCUCCGACAUACUUCGCCUUGAAGGACUGCUUAAACAACUCCCAAGUUACCCUCUCAACUGAGGUACCCUCUCUCACAGUAAUCCACCACUGAUUCGCCUCGUCCCGUAGUAAGGAUACUGCUCAUUUUAACUUUUGCUCUAUUGAGCAGUCCAAGUCAUCCAUAAUCCGCUCCGUGGCUUCCAGCUAGUACUCAGCCACAUUUGGGGCUACUCCAGAUACACCCCUAAAAACUUCCGCUCCGUUGGCCCGGAGUCGCUCAGAAAUAGACCCCCUAUUCAUGGGCCCGAUAUUAUCUCCGGCCACCAUUUCCAAAACUCUUAACAUGGCCUGGGACAGAGCGUCAUCCCCCAUGGCCCGAUUAUACGGCCCAUUCUCAUCUACCGGUGGUGGUCGUACUACUCUAGUGGGUAUGUGUUUAGAAGACGAAAAUCCAGCUUGAGUACUACCUCGGCCUCGACCACGGCCUCUUCCCUGAGUAGCUCUCGUACUCAUAUCGAUUUAUCUAAUUAUGAACUUUAUGCAUUUAGUUUACUGUUUCCACUGUUUAUUACAAAAUAUCUUAUGAACAGAUAAGGUUUCAGAGUUGUUCUCGCGUAACCACAGUUUAGCUACUGUUUCAGUUUCCUAGGGCUUAGUUUACCCUACAGUCUCAGUUUUGUAGCCUUUACGCUAUAUUAUCUAUAGUACUAUCUCUAAAAUUUAGUACUAACUACAGUACAGUUCAGUAUAUAAAACAGAAUAGUACUUACAGCCUUGGUGCCGGGGAUUCAGUGUGCCACCUCAUCAGUUUUCAGAUAAACUCAAAAUUUAGGCUUUUUGAAAUCCAUUUUCCAAACAUUUGUGUUAAAAAAAACAAGUUCAGAGAUUAUCUCCUUUAAACAAGAAAUUUUCAAAAGUCAAGUUUUUCCAAAAAUACCCUCUCUUUUUUGGCAUAAAAUUUUGAAAACCCUUUUUGGACCUGAUCCACAGUAGAGUUAUUGCAACUGGGCUCUGAUACCACUAAAUGUAGCACCCCAAACCCGACCCAGACGUUAAGGCCGAAUUCGACGUGCUACUUUGAAGUCAAAAAUUCGUGUUCCCUUUUUAGUGUUUUCAAAAGCUGACUUUUGUCAAACAAACCAAGUGAAUAGAAACUGGGCACCAGAUAGGUAUCCAUAACAGAAGAGGUGAGCCAUGAAGGCUGCGUAAGUACUAAGCUCUCCGAUUGGAUCCAAUCCUAGACAUGCCCACAUCCAUUGCCACACUUGGUUAUAAUAAGUUGAAAUUUCUUUGAGUGAUUAUCUUUGGUAAAUCGAAUAUUCGUGACGUCGUGUUAUUUUAAAAAAAAACAAGUAUCGUUUUGAAAUCACGCCCUAAGUUUAGCCCAUUUGAAUUAGGAUCCAUCAAUUUAAAGUUGUUUUUAAUAAUAUAACCCCAGAAAAAUCAAAAAAGAAAAUAAAGUUAAAAUGGCCUUAUUACAACCCAAAAAUUAAAUAGUAAUUAAAAAUAACUUAAGAAAACCAGUCUCUUUUUUCAAAUCCAAAAGUAUUCACCAUGUCCACUCUGAAUCCCCUCCAGCUCCAAGUCACCCACAUCAAGGCUCACCUGCAAGGUUAAAGAAGAGGUGAGUUUGGGCAAACUCAGUGUGUAAGGAAAACCCAUUCAAAGCCCAAGUCAGCUCAAGCCCAUUGGGCCUAAGCCCAUUCAGGUUACAGUGAUACUGGGCCAGAGCCCUUUUCAGAUUACAAUAAACUGAGCCUUAGCCCCUUAUUCAGAUAACCGUAUGGCCCAUAGGCCCAUUUCAAAAUACAUGCAACAUCAGUAAAUAUAUACAAGCCCAUUUGAGGAGACUACUCAACCCACCAACCACUACACUCCACCCGUACCAGCCAUACACUCCAUGUGGGGAAUAGAUCAACCCACCCAGCCCAACACUCCACAGUUGCAGCCUUGCUGCUCAGUUAACAGUAAAUUGAGACAGUCUCCAGUACGUGGACAAGCCACUUUCAGUACUUCCUCCAUCAAUAUCCUAAUCCCAUGCAUCAUAUAAUAAUAUUGCAUGCAGUAAAUAACAACAGUCAAACAUGAAUUUAGGUCAAUUUAACCCUAGGGGUAUUUCGAUAAUUUAUCUUCUAGGGCUAAAACUAUAAAUUUUUAAAGGUAUUUCAGUAAUUUAUCUAUUUUAGGGUUUUUCAUACAUAUUCCUACCUUUCACGUACUAACAGAAUCACUACCGAAGGUUCUUACCGAAUUGGGCCCAUUGGCCCAUCAUUCCAAUUUUGGCCCAUUAAGCCCAAAAAUAUCAAGGGCACAAAAAUCAUGCACUUUGCAGUCCAAACAUUGCAGUUUACCAAAAACAUUAAUCGAUUUACCUCACAAGCAUUCGCACACUUGCAAAUCUACAAAAUAUCGAUUUUCGGCAUUUCGACAUUUCAGCUUUUCGACUUUUGCCGAUCUAGACUAAGAAAGAGGGUGUUAGUUACACACCUGUUUGCGACGAUAUGCUGACGAGAUCCACACACAAACCGCUUACAAUUGGAUUACUAACACAUUAAUCUAACCAUUCAAAUACAAACUACGUAUUAACCCCUUACAAUAUUCGGCCAACCACACCUACAGAUCAUAGUAAGCUUGUAAGAAAUCAAUAAGCAACUCAUUAACAAAUUUUUGUCAAUGUUUAUCAUAUAAUCAUAAUUUCACUGCAAGUUGUCUUCCUGAACAACAGUCACUAAAUCAUUUAUAACUGGAGCUAUGAAACUUCAAAUCAAGUGCCAUUAAUUUUUCCUGAAAAUAGACUCAUAUAUACUCUAUCUAUAAAAUUUUCAGAAUUUUUGGUAUGGCCAAUCAAUACCAAAUUUUUCUUAAAGUUAAUCUGAUCACUCUUCAUUACAAAUCAAAUUUCUCAUUGUACAGAAUUCAAAAUAUGUUCUCGUUUAUUUCAUUUGAAACUAGACUCAUUAAGCUUUAAUUACAUAAUCUAUUCAGCUUCUAAUUCAUCUCCCAUAAUUUAUGGUGAUUUUCCAAAGUCACGUUACUGCUGCUGUCUCAAACAGAUUUAUUACCAAAUCACUCUUUCAUACACCUAUCUUGCAUGUAUGUUAUUUAAACAUGUAUAUCACCAAUCAAUCAUCACAUAUCUAUGAUUUUUACUUAAACAUAAUCUCCAUUUCAUCAUUUUAAAGCACACGUUAGCCGAUUUUUCCCUUUAGCAUCUAAGGCACAUGCAUGAUCAUUUGUUUGGCUCAACUUCACCUAUCUUCCAUUUUUCAUCAAAAGAACAUGAAACAACAACCAUUUCCUUCAUUUUAAUUCAUGACCAAAUGCUUACAACACAACCAAAAAUCAAAAUAUGCUUCAAGAGUUAAAGGUAGAAUCAAGAAGAACUCAUGAACAUCAAAAUAAAAGCAACUACCAUGAACUUACCUUGAAUUUUUUUUUCUUUUCCAAGUGACCGAAUAUUGAAAAGCUCUUUUCCUCUCCUUUCUCUUCUAUUUUCGGCUAUCAUCAACAAGGAUGAACAAAAACCUUCCUUUACUUCUUUUUUGUUAUUCUAUUACUAAACAUUUUAUGACACAAAAUAACAUAUAUUAUUUGCGCCAUACCUAUGCCAUAACUCCAAUAAAAAUAUGCCCAUAAUGCUUAUCAUGCCUAUCAUGGAACAUUUUCCUAACCCAUUAUCAAUUUUUAUCAAUUUAUACCAUAAAUUAUUAAUAUUAAGUACACAUAUUGUCUACCACCAACAUGAUGGCCGGCCACUUCAUGUAAAAUGAGAGGUUUGUCAUGCAAAUCCUCCUAUUUUGCACUCCUAUUUGUUUGGCCACUUCAAUUUAGCAUAUAGCAUUUUCAAACAUUUUCACAUAAGUCCUAUUUCAUUAUUUCACCCCCUUUUUCUUAUGGAACAAAAAUUAACUAAAAUUAUCGGGUUUUAUCUUAAGUUUGGGCUUUCUAGAGGCCCACUAACAUAAUUAAAC
RNAcentral lists this long non-coding RNA (9522 nucleotides) under Gossypium barbadense (sea-island cotton). RNAcentral's name for it is "long non-coding RNA (GBAR_LNC004623)". Lineage: Eukaryota; Viridiplantae; Streptophyta; Magnoliopsida; Malvales; Malvaceae. The record is from RNAcentral.